AUGGCGCUGCGCUCUCUUGUUAGAAAGAUGCCGGCCCUGGGUCUCAGGCCGCCGCCGACGGCCAACCUUAUGGGUCCCGUCCGGGCGCUGUCGCCGGCGGCGGGUUCUCGGCUCAUGUCCCAUGGGGCUCCGGCAAUCGAUCGCUUGUGCGCGGAGAUCUAUUCUGAAGACGAGAUGGCUAGGGUUCGGGAGGAAAUAAAUCGCCUGCGCGCGGAGACUGACCAGAACCGCAUAGAGUUAAAAAAGCAGGACGCUGAGGGGUUGAAGAUGAUUGAGAUGACCCAACAAGUCAUGGACGCAGCUGAAGCUUCUUAUAAUGAAGCCGCCAGGCAUAAUACUGAAGCCAUUAAAAGCAUAAUGGAAGAUUUUCGGAAAAUAGACAAGGCAUGUGACGUUGUUCUCAUUAGCUGUCCGCUGCUGAUUAUCCUUAUGGCCAUGGCUAUGUAG
Molecule: ribosomal RNA, 447 nt
Filed under: Triticum aestivum (bread wheat)
Lineage: Eukaryota; Viridiplantae; Streptophyta; Magnoliopsida; Poales; Poaceae
Description: partial small subunit ribosomal RNA
Source: RNAcentral